GUACGAAACCUCUCAUGGACAUCCUGCAAUAAGCAAACUUUCAAUAAAGCUUUAUGCUUAUGGUUCAAGCAAAUAUUGAAGUAUGAAGACGAGGCUGUCUCAUGAAUCUUAUCACAAAAUUGUAACACUUAUAAUGGUCACAGGAUUAAAUAAUAUCAUCACUAGUAAAAUUGUAAGAGACAUGCAUUCUUCAACUGUCAACUAAUGAUAUUGUAAGGAAUGAACUGCCACCAACAUAGUUAUCAUAUUUCAAGCACGCUCAACUGCUGAAACUACUCAUCAACAGUGCCAUAAGCCCAUAACGUACCAAGCAUAAUAUGUUAAGGGAUCAGUAUAAACUUUAAAUAUAGACUUGCAAAUCAAGAAGGAAAUUUUAUCUAACAAGUCAAUUUUGUGCAGC
RNAcentral lists this unclassified non-coding RNA (400 nucleotides) under Hevea brasiliensis (rubber tree). Lineage: Eukaryota; Viridiplantae; Streptophyta; Magnoliopsida; Malpighiales; Euphorbiaceae. The record is from RNAcentral.